GACGAACGCUGGCGGCGUGCUUAACACAUGCAAGUCGAACGGAAAGGCCCUGCUUUUGUGGGGUGCUCGAGUGGCGAACGGGUGAGCAACACGUGAGUAACCUGCCCUUGACUUUGGGAUAACUUCAGGAAACUGGGGCUAAUACCGGAUAGGAGCUCCUGCUGCAUGGUGGGGGUUGGAAAGUUUCGGCGGUUGGGGAUGGACUCGCGGCUUAUCAGCUUGUUGGUGGGGUAGUGGCUUACCAAGGCUUUGACGGGUAGCCGGCCUGAGAGGGUGACCGGCCACAUUGGGACUGAGAUACGGCCCAGACUCCUACGGGAGGCAGCAGUGGGGAAUAUUGCAAAAUGGGCGGAAGCCUGAUGCAGCAACGCCGCGUGCGGGAUGACGGCCUUCGGGUUGUAAACCGCUUUCGCCUGUGACGAAGCGUGAGUGACGGUAAUGGGUAAAGAAGCACCGGCUAACUACGU
This 467-nucleotide ribosomal RNA is filed under the name uncultured bacterium. RNAcentral describes it as "partial 16S ribosomal RNA". It matches the Rfam family "Bacterial small subunit ribosomal RNA", at positions 28 to 506 of the family's 1533-position model. The record is from RNAcentral.